AGUCGGAGGAACGCGGCCGCGCGACGGGCCCCGGACGCCGAGGGUGGUGCUUCCUCCGAGCCUCCGGUGGUGAGGCCGCUCUCAGAAGGUCAUGGAAGCGCAGGGGAGAGCGAGGCGGCCGAGCCCAGGCAAAUCCUCGAGAAAGGCCGAGUGCGCGACGGCUCUGCGGGGAGGACCGCGCCUCCCCGAAUGCGGCCGCUGCUGCCGCUGCAAACAGUGCCUUGAGGAGAGGAAAGCGGGGAACCGUGUUUUCGCCGCCUCUGUAACCACUGCACACAAGAAAACCAGCUUCUGGGAGAGGGGGAUGAUUGUUGGGACUUUGCGAAUUACCUAAACAGCCCAGGGCCGAGGCGCCGCCGCUCGCGUCCUGGUCCUCCUGCCGGGUGUGGGGCUCCCCUGCCCGAGAUGGCCAGCGGGCGCGCCGAGAGUAUCCUGGAGCCAUCUAGUCUUGCCUCGGAGGCGGGGUGGGCUUAUUUGUGCGGAGAAGAAACGGAUCUCUUAAUGGGGUGAGAUUUUUCCUCCGUACAUUGUUCCCAUUUCCGCAGUUUCACUUGGCCUCGGUUUUCUAGCAGAGUAAUCACCAAAUGAAAUUAGCUGGAGAGCGUUUGAUGGCGCAGAAUCACGGUCUGAAGAUGUUUACGCUGUAUGCCGGACGCGUUUGAUGGUGUUCUCUUCGGCACAAUUAAUUUUGCAAAGUUCAGAAAUGUGCCAGACAGAGCCCCUGGCACGCAGUCAGGACUCUACAGACACACCUUGAGUAGGAAACAGGCUUGUUUGUUUCAUCUGUGAUUUAUGUGAUGCACCAGCACCAAGGCCAACGUGUUUUUUAAAGACCUUUCGAUGAAACUCCAAAGCAAUUUAUAAAUUGGCAAAAUGAAGCUUGUUUUGUAAAAUAACUCUUCCUUGUUGAUCAUGUAAUUAAAUGGGCAACAAAACACCUGAAAGGACAUUUACUGAAAAGUAGACUCCCAAAACAAAAAUAUGUAUUUCACAGCUAGAUACGGUCGCUAUUAGCGUCCUAAUGGCCAACUCCAUCCAUGUGCGUAUUUUGAACACUAAAAACGCCUCCUGUUACCCCUAAGACCUUGUUUGGAUAACAUUUUUCUAUUAUAAGUACUCGAAACCAACCCCAUUUAAGAUGUUUACCCUUAUUCUUGAGUCCUUGAUGGUUUGGGAAAUUUAUCAUUAUUCAUAUUGCACAAUCCUGUCACUGUCUUUUCCAUUAGGCACAGUGCCUAAGGUCCACAAUAUUUUUAGAGGCCCACAAAAAAUAUUUUAAUUUCUUUUCAAAUCAGAAGGAAAAAAAAUUUAGGUUUAAGAAAGUAUUUUAAUAUAUAUUAAUAUAUUUGUUUUUGUGCUAAUACAAUCUUAAAAUGUAUGUAUAUAUGUGUGUGUGUAUAUGUAUAUAUAUUUUAAUGGAGUAAGGGGCUCAACGAAGGCAAAAAGGCCUAGAGCCCAAGAAAAACAUGAUGUGGCCCUGUUGCCUGGGGUUGAAAAAUCCCAUUCCAUGAGAAGAAUUUAGUUUUAAGAAUAUUACAUAAAAUGCUCAUUUCUGUGGCCUUGCUAUAAUAGAAAGAUGGAGAUUCAGAGUAGUGAUAAUGGCUAACAUCCACCUGAUACACACCAUGUGUCCAUUACCUCUUAAUCCUCACAGCACACCUGUGAAAUAGGUACUAUUCUCACACUUAGGGGGUAAUGCAGGUUUUGUGGGGCCUGCAAUUUAUGCAAUUUGGGUGGUCCUCUUAAAGAAAAAGCAAAUACUGUGUAUUAGUCCGUUCUCACACUGCUAUAAAGAACUGCGCGAGACUGGGUAAUUUAUAAAGGAAAGAGGUUUAAUUGACUCACAGUUCCACAUGGCUGGGGAGACCUCAGGAAACUUAACAAUCGUGGUGGAAGGAGAAGCAAGUACCUUCUUCACAAGGAAGCGGAAAGAAUUGUGAGCGGAGGAACUUGCCAAACACAAAACCGUCAGAUCGCGUGAGAAUUCAGUUACUAUCACGAGAACAACACGGGAAAACUGUCCCCAUAAUCAAGUCAUUUCUCUCCCUAACAAGUGAGGAUUACAAUUCAAGAUGAGGUUUGGGUAGGAACACAAAGCCUGACCCUAUCCCACAGCAUGUCCAGGCUGCCCUAGCACCACCCAAUAGAAGGGAAAAUGGCAGAGGGAAAGUCCUAGUGGAAAGAGACCUCAGUCUCAGCUAAUUGUGGUGACAAUAUAUUGCUUUUGCAAAUUGUACAUAAACAUAUGACCAGGUGAAUGUAUCGCCAAGGCUCCUGCCAAGGCCUGGGAUGGAGGCCUAGAGAAGAUGCCCGAAAGUUUAUGCUGUGUGAGCUUCACAGAAGACCUGCCUUCCAUGUAUACCCAUUUUACAGGUGUCUGUGCGGUGCAGAAACUGUACAACUGUAUACAGUGACCAUUUCUACUCUGGGUCUCUAAACAAGGGCUGGUAUCGUUACAGAGACUGAAGACUGAGGAAGACCAUCUCUGUAGGAUGCCAAGGAUUGACUGGAGAAAGUCUGGAAUUUUCCACAAAUGAGUUCAUUUAUAAAGAGAAAGGCAAGCUUUGAUGACAACACCUUCACAAAAUGGAGGCCUUUGAAAACAUUGGUCUGGAUUGAGGAGUUGGAGAAGAAUGAAGUGCACAUCAACCAAACAGAAGAGAAGCAAUUUGGAGGAGGAAAAAAUCAGUUCUUCAUGAAAGGAUCACAUUGAUCUUGGUAAGUGUAAACUCUAGAUGCCCAUAUGGUUUGGCUGUGUCCCCACCCAAAUCUCAUCUUGAAUUGUAGUUCCCAUAAUCUCCAUGUGUUUUGGGAGGGGCCCCAUGGGAGGUAAUUGAAUCCUGGGGGCAGUUAUUCCCAUGCUGCUGUUAUCAUGAUAGUGAGUGAGUUAUCAUGAGAUCUGAUGGUUUUAUAAGGAGCUUUUCCCCACUUGCUUGGCACUUCUCCUUGCUGCUGUCAUGUGAAGAAGGACAUGUUUGCUUCUCCUUCUGCCAUGAUUGUAAGUUUCCUGAGGCCUCACCAUCCCUGCAGAACUGUGAGUCAAUUAAACCUCUUUCCUUUAUAAAUUACCCAGUCUAGGGUAUGUCCUUAUAGCAACGUAAGAACAGACUAAUACACCAUGUCAGUGAGCCCUCACCCUCUGAACAUACAAUCUACUAAUUCCUACUAAUUUCUUUUGCAGAGUC
Long non-coding RNA from Homo sapiens (human), 3185 nucleotides. Ensembl annotates it as LIFR antisense RNA 1. Its record names the gene LIFR-AS1. The record is from Ensembl. NCBI's taxonomy places the organism in Eukaryota, Metazoa, Chordata, Mammalia, Primates, Hominidae.